RNAcentral lists this unclassified non-coding RNA (298 nucleotides) under Hevea brasiliensis (rubber tree). Lineage: Eukaryota; Viridiplantae; Streptophyta; Magnoliopsida; Malpighiales; Euphorbiaceae. The record is from RNAcentral.
GAGAACCUGAAAUUUCAUUACAUGCUGUCAACAAUAUGCAACAUUCUCAAACCAUGCAAUUGCAAGCUCUAAUUGGAAAUUAUUCUUUGACAGUCCUGGUAUAUUCAGGAAGCACUAAUAAUUUCAUUAGUGCAGCGGCUGUGACUCGAUUGGGAAUUCCAAUUCACCAGCAAGCAGGGGUCAAGGUUUCGGUGGCUAAUGGAGAAAAGGUUCCAAGCAGAGGCAUUUGUAUCGCAAUCACCUUACAGGUUGAUAUAGAACUUUUUACCACCGAUUUUUAUGUAAUUCCCUUAGGUGG